This 1142-nucleotide small RNA is filed under the name Pongo abelii (Sumatran orangutan). RNAcentral describes it as "processed transcript". Lineage: Eukaryota; Metazoa; Chordata; Mammalia; Primates; Hominidae. The record is from RNAcentral.
CUUAAAGAAAGAAACAAGUUCUUGGCAAGAGAAGCAUCCUCCUUGAAGUAUUUGGCUGAGGAGUUUUCAAUCCCAGUUAUCUUGACGAAUCAGGUUACAACCCAUCUGAGUGGAGCCCUGGCUUCUCAGGCAGACCUGGUGUCUCCAGCUGAUGAUUUGUCCCUGUCUGAAGGCACUUCUGGAUCCAGCUGUGUGAUAGCCGCACUAGGAAAUACCUGGAGUCACAGUGUGAAUACCCGGCUGAUUCUCCAGUACCUUGAUUCAGAGAGAAGACAGAUUCUUAUUGCCAAGUCCCCUCUGGCUCCCUUCACCUCAUUUGUCUACACCAUCGAGGAGGAAGGCCUGGUUCUUCAAGAUCCUAUGGCAUGAAGUGGGCAAUGGUUCUGACACCAGUGUGGAGCCUAUGGAAAUUCCUAGAGACAGAGAAAUGUGCAAACCUGUUCAUCUUGCCAAGAAAAAUCCGCUUUUCUGCCACAGAAACAAAAUAUUGGGAAAGAGUCUUGUGGUGAAACACCCAUUGUUCUCUGCUAAAACGUUUGUUUGCUACUGUGUAGACUCAGCUUUAGUCAUGGAAUUCUAGAGGAUGUAUCUCACAAGUGGGAUCAAGAACAAGCCCGACAGUAAUCUGCACCAUAAGUUGAUUUGAUACCAUGGCACUGACAAUGGGCACACAGGGAACGGGAAGUGGGAAUGAGAGCAAGGGUUGGGUUGUGUUCGUGGAACACACAGGUAUUUUUUUUUUUUUACUUUCUCUUUCUAAAAUAUUUCAUUUUUAUGGAGGUGAAAUUUAUAUAAGAUGAAAUUAACCAUUUUAAAGUAAACAAUUCUGUGGCAACUAGACAUCAUGAUAUGCAACCAGCAUCUCUGUCUAGUUCCAAAUGUUUUUGUCACCCCAAAAGCAAGACCCAUAACCAUUAUGCAAGUGUUCCUAUUUCCCCCUCCUCCCAGCUCCUGGAAACCCACCAAUCUACUUUGUUGCUAUGGAUUUACCUAUUCUGGAUAUUUCAUAUAAAUGGAAUCAUAUAGUAUGUGACCUUUUGUGUCUCUCUUCUUUCACUAGUAUGUUUUCAAGGUUCCUCCAUGGUGUAGUGUGCAUCAGUACUUCAUUCUUUUUAUGGCUGAAUAAUAUUCCAUUGUCAGGA